Molecule: long non-coding RNA, 365 nt
Organism: Athalia rosae (coleseed sawfly)
Lineage: Eukaryota; Metazoa; Arthropoda; Insecta; Hymenoptera; Athaliidae
Exons: 2
Source: RefSeq, a predicted model, not a curated record
GCAUUUUUUUGUUUCAUCACAUUCGGUUUUCUGUAACACAAUUCAAAUUAUCGGUAGUUUGUCAGAUAGCACAAUCGAGCUAUUGACUUUUUCAACGUACUCAAUGUUCGACUUCUUUGGCAUAGCAAAUCUGUCAUUGAAAGUGGAAGAGAUAACACGAGCAGAUUCCGUUAGCCAGUCUUGGAUCAGUUUCGUGCUCGUGAACAUUUCUCUCAGACUAUGAAAAGUUUGGUUAGCUAAAUAAUGGCUAGCUGCCCACAGAUGUUCUUCCGGGAAAUCAAUUUCUAUGGAAUAGCGUUAAGGUGUAUCGAAACAAUGAUACUCGAUUAUGUAAAAGGCAAAUAAAAGUAUAGAUCAAAGAAAAA